Molecule: long non-coding RNA, 705 nt
Organism: Pogoniulus pusillus (Red-fronted tinkerbird)
Lineage: Eukaryota; Metazoa; Chordata; Aves; Piciformes; Lybiidae
Exons: 3
Source: RefSeq, a predicted model, not a curated record
GAUGUCUGGACCCAAAUAUUCCUUCCAGCUGAAGAACUGAAACCUUCCCUUUGCAAGGAGGGAGGGAAAGGCCACAAAAUGCUCCCACCUGCCUGCUGUGGGGAGCCUGUUGCUAACAAGAGGAUGCUGGUGGCUUUCUGAUGCUCUGCUGGGCAAGGCACCAAGGAGGGAUGCUGACGGCAGCAGGAGCCCUUCCAGCUCUCCCUGCGUCCCCUUUCGACCUCACCUCCUCCGCAGAUGCCCUAAACCUUGGGAAAAGCCAAAGCUGAGGAGGAGGAGGAGGCAGAGCUCAGCAGGACGCAGCCAAAUGCGAUCAGACAGCUCCCCUCCAGCCUUCACCCAUCUCCCCGGCACAGCAUCAAGAGGGAAGGGAGGUGGCUGCCUCCUACCUCCCCCUGUUUCCCUGCCCCUAGCAAGGCGAAUACAUCCCUGCUCCACUUACAGAGGGAUUUCCAGAGCAGAGAGGCUUCUCCUGGGGCAAUCCUGGCCGGCACCGAGGCGAGCAGCUUUUGGCCGCCUCCUCCCGGCCCCCAGCUGGUUGAGAGCAAACAGCAGCCGAGGUCUGUUCAAACAGAGCUGCCGUCGGGUGCGGCGCCUGCCUGUUUGCACUGCUGCGAAAGCAAUCUCACCCAAGCCUCUCCCGGCUGUCAGCUCCUCUCACAUCUCAUCCUUGCCUCCUCAAUUCUCUCCACGUCCCGCACUGCC